UUNAGUGUGUUGAUCCUGGCUCAGAUUGAACGCUGGCGGCAUGCCUUACACAUGCAAGUCGAACGGCAGCACGGGGGCAACCCUGGUGGCGAGUGGCGAACGGGUGAGUAAUACAUCGGAACGUGUCCUGUAGUGGGGGAUAGCCCGGCGAAAGCCGGAUUAAUACCGCAUACGCUCUACGGAGGAAAGGGGGGGAUCUUAGGACCUCCCGCUACAGGGGCGGCCGAUGGCAGAUUAGCUAGUUGGUGGGGUAAAGGCCUACCAAGGCGACGAUCUGUAGCUGGUCUGAGAGGACGACCAGCCACACUGGGACUGAGACACGGCCCAGACUCCUACGGGAGGCAGCAGUGGGGAAUUUUGGACAAUGGGGGAAACCCUGAUCCAGCAAUGCCGUCGUGUGUGAAGAAGGCCUUCGGGUUGUAAAGCACUUUUGUCCGGAAAGAAAACGUCUGGGUUAAUACCCCGGGGGGAUGACGGUACCGGAAGAAUAGCACCG
RNAcentral lists this ribosomal RNA (496 nucleotides) under bacterium PML28. RNAcentral's name for it is "bacterial SSU rRNA". It matches the Rfam family "Bacterial small subunit ribosomal RNA", at positions 1 to 495 of the family's 1533-position model. The record is from RNAcentral.